UACAGAGGUCCCGAGCGUUGUUCGGAUUCACUGGGCGUAAAGGGUGCGCAGGUGGCAUGGUAAGUUUGAUGUGAAAGCUCAGGGCUUAACCCUGCAAUGGCAUUGAAUACUACUGUGCUGGAGGUUUGGAGGGGGGACUGGAAUUCUUGGUGUAGCAGUGAAAUGCGUAGAUAUCAAGAGGAACACCAGUGGCGAAGGCGAGUCCCUGGACAACACCUGACACUGAGGCACGAAAGCUAGGGGAGCAAACAGG
RNAcentral lists this ribosomal RNA (253 nucleotides) under uncultured bacterium. RNAcentral describes it as "partial 16S ribosomal RNA". It matches the Rfam family "Bacterial small subunit ribosomal RNA", at positions 524 to 776 of the family's 1533-position model. The record is from RNAcentral.